RNAcentral lists this ribosomal RNA (468 nucleotides) under uncultured bacterium. RNAcentral describes it as "partial 16S ribosomal RNA". It matches the Rfam family "Bacterial small subunit ribosomal RNA", at positions 28 to 507 of the family's 1533-position model. The record is from RNAcentral.
GACGAACGCUGGCGGCGUGCUUAACACAUGCAAGUCGAACGGAAAGGCCCUGCUUUUGUGGGGUGCUCGAGUGGCGAACGGGUGAGUAACACGUGAGUAACCUGCCCUUGACUUUGGGAUAACUUCAGAAAACUGGGGCUAAUACCGGAUAGGAGCUCCUGCUGCAUCGUGGGGGUUGGAAAGUUUCGGCGGUUGGGGAUGGACUCGCGGCUUAUCAGCUUGUUGGUGGGGGAGUGGCUUACCAAGGCAUUGACGGGUAGCCGGCCUGAGAGGGUGACCGGCCACAUUGGGACAGAGAUACAGCCCAGACACCUACGGGAGGGAGCAGUGUGGAAUAUUGCAGAAUGCGCGGAAGCCUCAUGCAGCAACGCCGCGUGCGGGAUGACGGCCUUCGGGUUGUAAACCGUUUUCUCCGGUGACGAAGAGUGAGUGACGGUAAUGGGUAAAGAAGCACCGGCUAACUACGUG